GCGAGGCUGCGCAUGAGUGAGGGGUUGUCUCAAGCUAGCUAACCCUGGGAUAUUAAUACACGUGGCUAAAAUUACAUUUAUCCUAAAUUACACUUUACCUCACUAGUUAAUGACAAGCAGAUGUGAGACAAGGCUGUCUAAGAUAACAACAAAUAAUAUAAUUGCAAUUUUAUUAGCUUGGUAACCCCAAGCCUAACACCCCCCUUGUACAUGAUAUAUGACAUAAUAAAAAAUAUAACCCCAAAC
RNAcentral lists this long non-coding RNA (246 nucleotides) under Mytilus galloprovincialis (Mediterranean mussel). Lineage: Eukaryota; Metazoa; Mollusca; Bivalvia; Mytilida; Mytilidae. The record is from RNAcentral.